AAAAGUUGUUUAAAAUAUGAUGUAACUCUCCUCUUUUUGAGUACAAAAUUCUAAGUUUUCAAAGGUUUUGUAUAGAAGAACUAUACAAAUCCUUGGUAUUUCUAUUUUCUUUUCUACAUCAGUAAAAUUACCCCUCGUUCGUCUGAGGGAGGGUUGUUCUCAACCUGAUUAUAACAAACACGGGUCAAAGUACGGCCUUUUACACAGGGCUUUGAUACAGACCAAACAGCAGGCUAUAAAGGACCCCAAAAUUAUUAGCGUACACAAUUCGAACAGGAAAACCAACGAUCUAAUUUAUAUAUUAUAAAAUUGAGAAAGGAAAUGGUGAAUAUGUCAAAGCGACAACCACCCGACCAUAGAGCAAACAACAGCCGAAGGCAACCAAUGGGUCUUCAAUGUAGCGAGAAUUCCCGCACCCGUAGGUGUCCUUCAGCUGGCCCCUAAAAUAUGCAUAAUAGUACAGUGAUAAUGGACGUCAUACUAAACUCCGAAUGUAUAUCCAAACUAGAAAUAUCAAUGAACAACAUCAACAAACGAUAACUGCUGAACGACAGGCCCCUCAAUCAACCAGGACAGGUGCAUAAACAUGCAGAGGCUAUGGAUAGUUUUGUUUCGCCAGC
This 620-nucleotide long non-coding RNA is filed under the name Mytilus galloprovincialis (Mediterranean mussel). The record is from RNAcentral. Lineage: Eukaryota; Metazoa; Mollusca; Bivalvia; Mytilida; Mytilidae.